RNAcentral lists this ribosomal RNA (253 nucleotides) under uncultured bacterium. RNAcentral's name for it is "partial 16S ribosomal RNA". It matches the Rfam family "Bacterial small subunit ribosomal RNA", at positions 524 to 776 of the family's 1533-position model. The record is from RNAcentral.
AACGUAGGAGGCGAGCGUUAUCCGGAUUUACUGGGUGUAAAGCGCGUGCAGGCGGUUAGCUAAGUUGGGGGUGAAAGCUCCUGGCUCAACUGGGAGAGGUCGCUCAAGACUGGCUGACUGGAGAGCAGUAGGGGAAGGUGGAAUUCCGGGUGUAGUGGUGAAAUGCGUAGAUAUCCGGAGGAACACCAGUGGCGAAAGCGGCCUUCUGGACUGCAUCUGACGCUCAGACGCGAAAGCUAGGGGAGCAAACGGG